GUAGUAGCAAAUACUCUAGCGAGGCCCUGGAGGGCUGAUGCGGAGAAGGGUUUCGUGUGAACAGCCGUUGCACACGAGUCAGUCGAUCCUAAGCCCUAGGAGAAAUCCGAUGCAUCGCGGCCGUUCGUCGGCCCGGUCGGGCGAAAGGGAAUCCGGUCCCUAUUCCGGAACCCGGUCGCGGAACCGUCUCACGUCGGGCCCCCCGCGUUCGCGCGGGAAGCUCGUCGGGGUAACCCAAACAGACCCGGAGAAGCCGUCGGGAGGUCGGGGAAGAGUUGUCUUUUCUGUUUGAGCGUUCGGGUUCCCUGGAAUUGCCUAGCGCAGAGAGAGGGAAUGGAGCGCGUAGAGCACCGCAGUUGCGGCGGUGUCCCGACAUGCCCUUCGGACCUUGAAAAUCCGGGGACGGGCCACGUGGAGGUGUCGCGCCGGUUCGUACCCAUAUCCGCAGCAGGUCUCCAAGGUGAAGAGCCUCUAGUCGAUAGACUAAUGUAGGUAAGGGAAGUCGGCAAAUUGGAUCCGUAACUUCGGGAUAAGGAU
RNAcentral lists this ribosomal RNA (537 nucleotides) under Phaeogryllus fuscus. RNAcentral describes it as "eukaryotic LSU rRNA". It matches the Rfam family "Eukaryotic large subunit ribosomal RNA", at positions 1457 to 1948 of the family's 3401-position model. The record is from RNAcentral. Lineage: Eukaryota; Metazoa; Arthropoda; Insecta; Orthoptera; Phalangopsidae.